This 75-nucleotide transfer RNA is filed under the name Candidatus Nomurabacteria bacterium. RNAcentral's name for it is "tRNA-Arg". It matches the Rfam family "tRNA". From Rfam's summary of the family: Transfer RNA (tRNA) molecules are approximately 80 nucleotides in length. Their secondary structure includes four short double-helical elements and three loops (D, anti-codon, and T loops). Further hydrogen bonds mediate the characteristic L-shaped molecular structure. tRNAs have two regions of fundamental functional importance: the anti-codon, which is responsible for specific mRNA codon recognition, and the 3' end, to which the tRNAs corresponding amino acid is attached (by aminoacyl-tRNA synthetases). tRNAs cope with the degeneracy of the genetic code in two manners: having more than one tRNA (with a specific anti-codon) for a particular amino acid; and 'wobble' base-pairing, i.e. permitting non-standard base-pairing at the 3rd anti-codon position. Lineage: Bacteria; Candidatus Nomuraibacteriota. The record is from RNAcentral.
GCCCUUGUAGUUCAAUGGAUAGAACGAAGCUCUUCUAAGGCUUUGAUGUAGGUUCGAUUCCUACCAAGGGCACAA